RNAcentral lists this ribosomal RNA (496 nucleotides) under uncultured bacterium. Its description in RNAcentral is "partial 16S ribosomal RNA". It matches the Rfam family "Bacterial small subunit ribosomal RNA", at positions 28 to 507 of the family's 1533-position model. The record is from RNAcentral.
GAUGAACGCUGGCGGCGUGCCUAAUACAUGCAAGUCGAGCGAACAGAUGAGGAGCUUGCUCCUCUGACGUUAGCGGCGGACGGGUGAGUAACACGUGGAUAACCUACCUAUAAGACUGGGAUAACUUCGGGAAACCGGAGCUAAUACCGGAUAAUAUAUUGAACCGCAUGGUUCAAUAGUGAAAGACGGUUUUGCUGUCACUUAUAGAUGGAUCCGCGCCGCAUUAGCUAGUUGGUAAGGUAACGGCUUACCAAGGCAACGAUGCGUAGCCGACCUGAGAGGGUGAUCGGCCACACUGGAACUGAGACACGGUCCAGACUCCUACGGGAGCAGCAGUAGGGAAUCUUCCGCAAUGGGCGAAAGCCUGACGGAGCAACGCCGCGUGAGUGAUGAAGGUCUUCGGAUCGUAAAACUCUGUUAUUAGGGAAGAACAAAUGUGUAAGUAACUAUGCACGUCUUGACGGUACCUAAUCAGAAAGCCACGGCUAACUACGUG